Non-coding RNA from Cinara cedri, 577 nucleotides. The record is from the annotation of a GenBank genome assembly. NCBI's taxonomy places the organism in Eukaryota, Metazoa, Arthropoda, Insecta, Hemiptera, Aphididae.
GUAAACUAAUUUUUUUAUAAAAAUGGCUUCUGAAAAUUUACAUAUAUCUAAUUUAAAUUUUUAUUUUUAAGAACCUUAAAAAUAUAAUUGUAAAAUUAUGCUACCCUUUUAUUCCUUUUACAGUGGAAUAACUUUACUUAUAAAUAACCCUCGAAAACCUGAGUUAAAAUGUUAAGCUUUCUAUGAAAAAAAGGUUCUUACUUUUAUAGUUUGUAUGUGGGUAUAGCCACUGUUGUAAGUAGUGUUGUAUUAAAUAAUCUUAUUAUAUAAUAAUGUCAAUUGUUGGGAACACAAAGUUCGGAAGGUAGGAUACAGAAAAGAAUUCAAUGUAUACCUGGAAGCAAUGAUAAACCAUUGCCAAUGAAAAAACAAUUCUAAGUAGAGUUUAAUUGAUAGCGUUGCUUUGUUAACAAUAUACAUGUCAUUAAAGGAUAAUGCAUAAUAUUGAAUAAAACUUACCCAGUUAACACACACGUUUUUAUGUAUGUAGUAAAAAUAUUUUACUAUUCUAAGAUUUCAUUUUUGUUAUUGAUUUAGAGUAAUUGUAUUUAAUUAAUUUAAUUACAUCAGACCAGAU